ACAACCGUCGCAAAUUUGCCACCAUUUUGGAACGAUUUGCCUGUUGGCGACUAUUGUGCGACUAUUUUUGCAACUAUUUACCGACCAUAGUUGCGACUAUUUUGGUACUAAAUGUGAAAUUACUUGAGUUUUGCAAAGUUUUGUAACCUUAAACUAAUAUAUGUCCUCUAUAACCCUAAUAUGAGUGUUAUAGAGUGACAUAUAUAACCAUUUUGGAUUGAAAUGUGUAUAC
RNAcentral lists this long non-coding RNA (232 nucleotides) under Arabidopsis lyrata. RNAcentral's name for it is "long non-coding RNA (ALYR_LNC001106)". The record is from RNAcentral. Lineage: Eukaryota; Viridiplantae; Streptophyta; Magnoliopsida; Brassicales; Brassicaceae.